This is a non-coding RNA of Trichonephila clavipes, 73 nucleotides long. Lineage: Eukaryota; Metazoa; Arthropoda; Arachnida; Araneae; Nephilidae. The record is from the annotation of a GenBank genome assembly.
AUCCCUGUAGCGCAAUCGAUAGGGCAUUGGAAUUCUAAUCCAAAGGUCGUCGGUUCGAAUCCGACCUUGGAUG